Molecule: small nucleolar RNA, 93 nt
Organism: Apodemus sylvaticus (European woodmouse)
Lineage: Eukaryota; Metazoa; Chordata; Mammalia; Rodentia; Muridae
Product: small nucleolar RNA SNORD116
Exons: 1
Source: RefSeq, a predicted model, not a curated record
GGAUCAAUGAUGAUUCCCAAUAAAACAUUCCUUGGAAAACUGAACAAAAUGAGUGAAUAACCAAUACUGCAACUCUCAUCGAAUCUGAGCUCC